AUGCCAAGAGUCGAAGUCCCGCCGGCCUCUGCCGCCGCCUCGGCCUUCUCCUUCCACAUCGUCGCCUUCGCUCUCAUGUCCUUGCCUUUCUCGCCGUCCGUGGCCUCCAGCACGAGCCUUGCCACCUCCUCCCUCCUCACGUCGCUAUCGAUCUCCAGCCCGAUGCCCCACUCGGCGCACGCGUACCGGCAGUUGGUCGUCUGCUCCGCGAAGAAGGGCCAGCAGACCAUCGGCACGUCGGCGCAGAUGCUCUCCAGCGUCGAGUUCCACCCAGAGUGCGUCAGGAACAGCCCGGUCGCCGGAUGCCCCAGGACUUGUUCCUGCGGGCACCAGCUCAGGAAGAUCCCUCGGUCCUUCGUCUCGGCGAGAAACUCCUCCGGCAGCACGGCCUUGUCGCCGGCCACGAGGUCCGGCCUGAUGACCCACAGGAACGGGCGCCCGCAGCGCGCCAGGCCCCAAGCGAACUCCGCGAGGUGGGCCGGCGACAUGACCGUGAUGCUGCCGAAGUUGACGUACACGACCGAGCCGGGCUGCCGGUCGUCCAGCCACCGGAGGCAGCUCGCGUCCUCCUUCCAGAGGUUGCCGCCGAUCGCGUCCAGCUCCGGCCGCGCCCGCGCCGCGGUGACCGCGAACGCCGGGAGCGGGCCGACCGUGUACACGCGCGGGAAGAUGCGGCGGAGCGCGUCCACGACGUCCUGCUCCACCGCGUCGAACGUGUUGAGGAUGAUGCCCUGGGCGCGGUGCGCGUUCUGCGCCUCGCCGCCGUCGAAGUUGAGCAUGACGUCGUUCCGGUCGGUCGUGCGGACGAAGCUGGGGAAGUCUCGCAGCCUUAUGCCCGGCAUCCCGGCCACCCAAUCGAGCGCCGUGUCGAGGUAUCCGUUGGUCAGACAGCUCUCGUCUACGACAUGUGCAGCGCAGUUAUAA
This 924-nucleotide ribosomal RNA is filed under the name Triticum aestivum (bread wheat). RNAcentral describes it as "partial small subunit ribosomal RNA". The record is from RNAcentral. Lineage: Eukaryota; Viridiplantae; Streptophyta; Magnoliopsida; Poales; Poaceae.